Long non-coding RNA from Sarcophilus harrisii (Tasmanian devil), 454 nucleotides. RefSeq lists it as uncharacterized. NCBI's taxonomy places the organism in Eukaryota, Metazoa, Chordata, Mammalia, Dasyuromorphia, Dasyuridae. The record is from RefSeq and is a predicted model, not a curated record. The transcript is spliced from 3 exons.
GGUUUCUGCCUUGGCCUCUAAGGAGAAACCAGAAGACCAGGCAAUGGGAGCUGAGCUCCUAUCAUCCAGGCCCCAGGAUUUCCAUUGUCCAAACCUAAUGUGAUCUCCCAGCUAUAGCAAGGAGAAGAGCCAUGGGUCCUGGGCAUGAAGGCAACUGAGGGAAGAAAAUUCCAAGAGGCAACUGUUCAGCUUACUACAGAUGAUGUGUCCUUGCUCUCCUUCUGUCAGGAAGAAGCCCAUCUGACUAUUAUCUGGCAUAACCAAUUCCCAGACUAUCCUGUUUUUUAUAGAGUGAUUUGUAAGACUGGAACUCUUUAUCAAUCUCCAUUGUCUAUUCCUCAACCCUCAGGCUAUCUUUAAACAACUUUUGAGAUAUUGACUAGAAUAUUGUUAGAUUGCUCUGGAGCCUGGUCAGCCAGGUGCAUUUCAUCUGGUUCCUCCUUGAUCCCUUCCU